This 108-nucleotide ribosomal RNA is filed under the name uncultured eukaryote. Its description in RNAcentral is "partial small subunit ribosomal RNA". The record is from RNAcentral.
UCGCACCUACCGAUUGGAUGGUCCGGUGAAGCCUCGGGAUUAUGAUGGCUGCCUUUAUUGGUGUCUGUUGUGAGAACUUGUCUAAACCUUAUCAUCUAGAGGAAGGUG